GCUCAGGACAAUUUGUUGAUAGUUGAUUAAGAUGAGAAUUAAUCUCGGAGUUGCAUCUUAGAAAGUAAGGGUUCGUAGUCCUACAUCUUCUUAGUCAGUUGAAGGCCCACGUGUCACUGUAAAAGUAAUUUUAUUCUUCAGUUAUUUGAUUUAAAGUAUGUAUGAAUAUAUUUAGCUUUUACACCAUGUUUUUGGCGAGUUUCGGUAUUUUUGAAGAAAAAU
RNAcentral lists this long non-coding RNA (222 nucleotides) under Theobroma cacao (cacao). RNAcentral describes it as "long non-coding RNA (TCAC_LNC005839)". Lineage: Eukaryota; Viridiplantae; Streptophyta; Magnoliopsida; Malvales; Malvaceae. The record is from RNAcentral.